This 301-nucleotide ribosomal RNA is filed under the name uncultured bacterium. RNAcentral describes it as "partial 16S ribosomal RNA". It matches the Rfam family "Bacterial small subunit ribosomal RNA", at positions 509 to 807 of the family's 1533-position model. The record is from RNAcentral.
CAGUCGCCACGGUAAUACGUAGGUGGCGAGCGUUGUCCGGAAUUAUUGGGCGUAAAGGGCUCGCAGGCGGUUUCUUAAGUCUGAUGUGAAAGCCCCCGGCUCAACCGGGGAGGGUCAUUGGAAACUGGGAAACUUGAGUGCAGAAGAGGAGAGUGGAAUUCCACGUGUAGCGGUGAAAUGCGUAGAGAUGUGGAGGAACACCAGUGGCGAAGGCGACUCUCUGGUCUGUAACUGGCGCUGAGGAGCGAAAGCGUGGGGAGCGAACAGGAUUAGAUACCCCUGUAGUCCCUGUCUCUUAUAC